UGCCUGCACAAUACAACAAGCAUUAUAUUGUUAAGAUCCAUCCAUCAAGAACAAAUAACCGAAAACGGGCAACACUCAACUAACCAGAAGAUUGAAAUGAAACAAUAUACAAAGGACACAAUUUAAAACCUACAUAGAUAAUUUCUUGAGAGAAAGAAAUAGCAGAUUGAUCAGAGUACACAAAUAACCACGCACAAAGCUGGCAGUAUCAUAAAACUGAGAUCAUGGUGAAGGUACCUUCAGCUGUCUUCUGGUAGAGGGUCUCCUCAAAGAGGAUCACUCCACUAAGGUACUGGAGGACACCAGGGGCAGUGAAGAGGAGCUCACGAAGAGCACGCCUGUUCUCUUCAACAUUCUCAACUUUGAUGCUGUCAAAACGUUUUCCAAUAGUGCCAGUGGACUCAUCAGCAGCUAGAAUACCCUUUCCAGGGGUGCCAAUGUAGGCAGCAUUCUUAAUGAGCUCAUCUGCAAGGCAUCCAGAAUUCAGUCAACGGAAUCCACAAAAUCAUAAACAUAAAUAUUGAAACAUAACUCUACAAUAAAAUAUUUAAAAAAAACAAACAAACAAACAAACAAACAAGUAAUCUUAAACAAACUUCCGAGCUAUCAAAAACUUAAUCAAAAGGCCAUUGUUCAAACAUCAAAUUGUAAUCAACGCAAGAAGACUAUAACAAGUGGAUCAUCAACGAUAUGAAGCAUACAUCAUUCUACGAACCCUGAAACAUCAAAGGAUCUAGAGGCAGAACUAAACAAAGUUCUCCAGGACUAGAAUACUCCACAAAACAGAUCAUAAAUCCAAUAAGAUCGAACCUAACAGUUCCAACAGUCAAACAAACUAAGCUAUCAGUAACCGUAACAUGCUACGACGAACUGAUUCCAACUAUGAAAAGUCAAACACAAACACAGGCAAAGCAUGCAUAAAAGUCAGAUCUAAAACUCGACAGUAACAUGAACAGAUCGCUUUCACUUACAAACUCAAUCGAACAAAAACACAACAGAUCGCAAACAUAACUCGGAUGACUAUACGAUACUGAAACAAGGACUAUCUCAUAAAUCAAAAUCUGAAAACAUGAACACAAAACAGAUCUACACAAAACAUCGAAGCAGAUAUACAAACAGAGCAAAACAGAAGAGUAGAAUCUACGAAACAAAUGAAAUACGGAUCGAAGAACAAGAAGAAGAUUCAAAUUACCAGCGUAUUUGCCUCUGUAAGCAGUCAUGGUUGGUUGGUACUAAGCUUGGAGAGAGAGAGAGGGAGGGUUUGGUCUGAGAAAUCGAGAGAGACGAAAGAGAAGAAAUAUGGAGAGAGUGAAGGGUGGGUGAGCCCUUUUUAAGAAGAGAAAAUGAUGCGAAAAAGGGCCCCCUCCAAGUAUGAGUCAGCCACUAUUUUCGCUUGGCUUCUUUCCCACGUACUUUUUUUUUCUUCUCCACGUAACUAUGUCAGUUUACUUUUUUGCCCCCACCCACCUCUCAAUUGAGCCCAUAUUCAUUCCCUGUUUUUUAAAUUUUGCAAUCAGCUCUUUGAUUUUGUAAUCCGGAUUCAUAAAUGUAAAACAUCUUUUGCGAAGAUUUUUUUUGUUUUACUUUUCCUUAUUGCCAAAGUAAAAAUAUCAUCAAGACAUCAAUCAUCGUCUGAAGGCAGCAUAUUUGAGAGCUGAGAAUUUUGAUUUUCUAAAUUUAUUACAGUAAUGUCUAACGCUAUUGAGAGCCGUUACCAUCUAUAAUCUUGUUCUAACCACAUUUAAAUUAUUGAUGAAUUACAAUGAAUUACAUUUUCUAUAUAUGUUCGAAACUAUAUAAAGACAAGGUGGUUCUCUAUUCAAUGCAUAUAUUAAUAUUUGGUUAUAUUUGUCGAUAUGUAGAGUCGAAAUCUUUUAUUUUAUUUUAAGUUUUAAAUUAGAUAUUUUAGAGUUGGGAAAAAAAGCCGAAAAUGGUAAUUAGGGAUGGCGGUUGAGGGGCUCUAAAAGUGUCACAAAACAAGCAGCCGUCCCGUGAUUAGGUAGGAUGACACGGGGGGAGCGGUCAAGACUCGAGAUUUUGAUGGCAAAGAAAACAAAGGCAAGAAGCAGCCAACCAAAUCCUGUGGGGUUUGAAAGCAACUCUCUUCUCGGUUUGGUACUUCUAUCACAGAUUUAGCUUCAUGCUCUUUUUUGUGUUUUUUAUUUUAACAAAGCAUUCUGGGUUUCAAGAUAAUUAGCCUGAAGUUCUAGGUUUGCCAAUUGCCAUUAUGUUUGGCACACCAAAUGACCAAACGGUUCCAACUGUUUUUCUUCCCCAGCUUGCUCUCUAUAUCUCCAACCUGGAUAUCAGAUGCAGACUCAUGUCAAUAAUGUAAAAUAGGUAAUGAGUUAGGGGUUCAAUUGAAUGGCAUUAAUUGUGUCUACAGCUUGUGUAGAGUUGGUAGUUUUGAUUGUAGGCUGGCUACUCAAUCUAACAUGAACGAAUGAAUGACAUUUCCAAUGGACUUUGUUUGUUUUGUUCUUACAAACACCCAACAAAUUACUUUGGAAUAGCCACUGAAUAAGUGAAAUGCCUUGUAAAGUUGUAAAUACAGAUGCUUGUUAGAAAAGUUGGCAAAUCAUUGUUCCAAAAGUAGAUGAGUACAACUAGUUAAGAAUUAACGACGUAAUUUUAUUUACUGUGAUCAUUUAAUUUACUAAAUGAUCGAACAUUUUCAAAAUUAAAAUUCAAAGCGAUACAAAAUUGAAUCAAAAUUUAUACAAAUUAGAUUCAAUUGUCAAUUAUGUAUGCUAUCAUGUUGAAUUUGGUUGAAGUGUUGAACAUAAUUGAUAUCUUCAUUAAAGAGCUUUGCAGCGUCAAAGGGGGAUGUACUACAACAUGCUUCAUGUUAGUUCUUCCACUUCUUUGUCGCCAAUAUAUUUUUUUUCAAUUACUUACAAGUCAACUGUCAACCCAAUAAUCUUAGUUAUAAAUCAUUCAACCAAACUUUCAACAUUUAUAUUUAUAUUCAACCAACGCCAGCUUCAAACUAGCAUCAGUUUAAAUCAUGCCCCACAUUUUCUUUUAAUUUCUUGUCACGCUGAUUUCCUAUAUUAUUAAAAAUGACAAAUUAUUUGAAAUAAAAAACACGGCAAACAUGGCAUGAGAGCAUUCCUCAUUAGGUCCUUGCCACCCUAGCUAUAAGACCCAAGAAAAGCUAUAAACAAAAUUAGUUGACGUUUUAUUUUAUAAUUAUACAUUCAUGAAUUGAUUUUGUCAUAAGAACAUUGCUAGCAAUCUACUCCCAAUCUUCCUAAUUUGUAUACAUUGCUGGUCGAUCGGUUUGGUAUAGAUUGGUAGUUUUUUGUAUCAAAGUUUUUAUUAAAGAAAUGAUCGAGACGUCUUUUCCAACGUUAUGACUGUCUUCGGUAGUUUUUUUUUCUACAUGAAUCAUGAAAUACCAGGGGCAGAGCUACCAUGAGAUGUGAACCCCCCCCCCCCCCCCACGGGAAUAUAUUCAUGCGUUCAUAAACAGAAAACUAAUAGUUUAAGAAGGAAUUACUGGCCCCAACAUUAAAAUAUAGAGAUAAUUAAAAUAACAUACUAUUAACUACUUACUUAUUAUUCAUUGAUCAUAUAUUAAAAAUUUUUUUUUCAUGAUAUGAUAACGGUAAAUCAUGUUAUACUAAAUCUCAACCCCUCCUAACUUUAAAUUCUAGCUCCGCCACUGUGAAAUACGGUUGCAAUUUAAAGAAAGUAAAUUCAGAGGUAGUUGAUGUAAAUAUUCGGAUCGAUAUUGUAUAUAAUUUUUUUUUUCAACAGUUAAUUUCAUAUAUUUAUCCAAACAAAAAAAAAUGUUUGAAGAAAUAAUGCUUGAAUUAGAAUUACGACAAAUAAUGUGUGUUAUAUUUCUCCCGUCCCUACAAUCACCACCAUGUAUGGCAAGUUACCUUCACAUCUAACAUGGAGUGUAUAAGAAUAAGAUCGAGGUUUGGAUGUUCGAAGUUGAGGCUUCACCUACCUCUCUUCAUCUCUCUUUCUCUUCCUCUUCAAACUAGUUGAGGAGGCAGGUGGCAUGGAGUUAGCCCACAAUGAAAUAAAGAAAGAAACCAAACAAACAAGUGAUGCGUGGAUCCAACGCAAAUUUUGUAGAACAAUGAAGAAGAAGACAGUCAGGUCCUGCAUAAGCCUAAGUUUGAAUAUUCUUUUAUUAUUAUUCUGGAUCCAAUCUUUGUGUAAUAUAUAUCUAUAUAUAUUCGAGUUCGUUCCGAUCUGUUUUUCUUCUCUGCUCACAUGGCAAUGUGACUGGCGCUGCUUCUACUAAUAGUAGCAGUAGCAGCAGUGAUCGAAAUAUUAAAUAAUGGAUGUCUUGCUCUCUUUUUUUUUUUUUUUUUUGAGUAAAACCUAUCUAACGGUGAACGAUAAGUACGUUUUAAAAUAAAUCACUAAUGGGCAUAUGCUUCAUCCACGCUGUAAAUGUAAACAUGAUUCAUCAUAAUAGCAGCUUAUUCUUUUGUUCUUCUUCUCAUUUUUUCCUAGUUUAUAGCUAUUUUUAACGGCGUAGGCAUAUAGGUUUUCCGAGAGAUCGCCGGAGGCGGCGGUCUACCAUCCCUAGCAACGAGAGAGAGAGAGAGAGAGAGAGAGAGAGAGAGAGAGAGAGAGAGAGAGAGAGUAGANNNNNNNNNNNNNNNNNNNNGAGAGAGAGAGAGAGUUUUAGUUAGUUUUACUAAUAAUAGUUGAGUUUUCAAGAUUUGCCAAAAUAAACAUCUUAAAAGAGGUAUAAUACGUAAAAUAAGUCAAUUUUUUCUCAAACAAAAAAGUAAAACAUCCACAACAAAAUUAGUUUCUCUCAACACAUGAAUCUAGAAUACACCUAGUGAUGCCUUAUUAUAGUUGUUGCAGUAGAGGUUCUUUUAUUUCCUCCCAACUCUGCUCAUAUAGAGGUAGAUAGAGGUAAUGUAAUGUCUCUAUUGUGAUAUAUUCUGAAUUGCAUAGAAACUAAAAAUCUGUGCCAGAGUGUGGACAUUCCUUGGUCAAUCCAACUGUAUCAAACAGAUUCGCAAUUGUGUCAUCGAAACUGUCCAUUUCUUUGAUAACAAUGGAGGAAUAAAUAGUCUUCCAUUUUACUUCAGGACAUAUAUGCAUAAAGGAGAGAUAUGGCCUAAUGGACAAGGGUGACAACAUUCCAGAGUGUGAGAGCAAAAGCUCCCAAAAGCCAAACAAAAAAAAAAUCUGACCAAAGCUUCUUCAGUUGUGUAAGAGACUAAUAGGAUGUGCUAUAAAGUUGGUUGCAAUUUAAACCUUUUCGCAAACAGAACGCCGGUACCUCAAUUUUCUCCAUACACGCACUGAAGAGGUCUGGUGACGAAUAUGAGAUGCAAUGCAAUAUAAGACAUCAAAAUCAAAGAUUAACCAAAAUUACCUAACACACGAGUAGUUCUCCAACUAAACCAAAUUAAGGGGUAAAUAACAACUCUCUUUGCUUGCUAAUAUUCCUCAAGCUUAUAUCAGACUAGCAUCUCAUCCCGAGUUUAUAGAGAAAAUGGUUUUCCCAAAAGGACCGACCUAUACUAGGACAGAAGACAUAGAGAGAACAAGCUACCAAACAAUGACAGAAGAGACAUAGAGAGUACAUGCUACCAAACAGCUCGAUUAAUACUUGUAGUCCUUGACAUGAAGACUCUCUGCAGCACCCUCACCAAGCUUGGCAUCGCCCUUGUAUGUUCCCAAGGUUGCCUCUGAGUUGGCCUUGGCCCUUGUGAGGAGAGCCUCCUGGGCAGCCUUGACAUUCUCUUUCUUACCUGACCAAGCCUUGAGAGUGCUGGCCUGAAGAGCACGGCCAAAAGAGAAGGAAAGAGUCCAUGGCUUCUUUCCCUUGAGCUGGUUCAUGGCGUUAAGGUUGAGGGUAGCCUCCUCCUCACUCUGUCCACCAGACAAGAACACCACAGCAGGGACCGCCGCAGGGGUAGUGCGCUGCAAGGCACGAACUGUGUACUCAGCAAUCACUUCUGGUGAAGCCUUCUUGGCUUCAGAUCCAGGAGUGACCAUGUUGGGCUUCAAGAGAGUUCCUUCAAGAAGGACGUGGUGGUCAUUGAGAGCCUUGUAACAUGCAGCAAGGACGCGCUCAGUCACAUCAGCGCACUUGUUGAUGUCAUGGGGUCCAUCAACAAGGAUCUCUGGCUCAACAAUGGGUACCAAGCCAUUCUCCUGGCAGAUGAUAGCAUAACGUGCCAAUCCAUUAGCAUUCUCAUUGAUGGACAGCUGAGAUGGCUCAUUGGGACCAAUCUUGAGCACAGCACGCCAUUUGGCAAACCGGGCACCAGCUUCGUAGUACUUUGCGCAGCGUGCACCAAGGCCAUCCAGACCCUGGGUUGUGGUCUCACUAUUGGUACCAGCAAGCUCAACAACACCCUUGUCAACCUUAAUGCCAGGGAGAACACCACCUUCCUUCAAGACCUCAACGAAUGGUUUGCCUGCAACAUUCAUGGAUCAUCAAUAAGGCAACGGCUCCAGGAUAUUUAGGGAACCAAUAUGUAACUAAGACCAUAAUCCAUAUAAACUCUUAAUACUUAAAGCAACAUUCAAUUGAACUGAAGAUUUAUAGAUUAGAGAUGCAAUUACAAGUGGCGAAUUAUAUUGCAAAGGUAACCGAUGGUAAGCAUUGAAGAACUUGGCAAUAAAACAACAACAUUACAAAGAGGAGUUGUCAAAUACCUUCAGCUGUCUUCUGGUAGAGGGUCUCCUCAAAGAGGAUCACUCCACUAAGGUAUUGGAGUACACCAGGGGCAGUGAAGAGGAGCUCACGAAGAGCGCGCCUGUUUUCCUCAACAUUCUCAACUUUGAUGCUGUCGAAACGUUUUCCAAUGGUGCCAGUAGACUCAUCAGCAGCUAGAAUACCCUUUCCAGGGGUGCCAAUGUAGGCAGCAUUCUUAAUGAGCUCAUCUGGAACAAACAAAAAAUUCGGUACCCACAAAUGAUAAACUAAUCA
RNAcentral lists this long non-coding RNA (6928 nucleotides) under Fragaria vesca (wild strawberry). RNAcentral describes it as "long non-coding RNA (FVES_LNC002943)". Lineage: Eukaryota; Viridiplantae; Streptophyta; Magnoliopsida; Rosales; Rosaceae. The record is from RNAcentral.